Cavia porcellus (domestic guinea pig) is the source of this 1157-nucleotide long non-coding RNA. RefSeq lists it as uncharacterized. The record is from RefSeq and is a predicted model, not a curated record. Lineage: Eukaryota; Metazoa; Chordata; Mammalia; Rodentia; Caviidae. The transcript has 3 exons.
CUGCUCUGCUACUGUUGCUGGCACCACUGCCCCUGCUUGCUGGCUGCUGCCUUCUGCCUGGCCUGCCACAGUGACUGUUCGCUCUGUGCUGCCCCUCUGCCAUGCCGCCCUGCCUUGGAGCCAGCCAACUAUGGCUUGAAACCUCGACAUACUGUCUCACGAGUGCGGAGGCUGGUCUUGAACUUGUGAUCCUCGUGCCUCAACUGGGGUGAUGGGAUUACAGGCAUGCAGCCAUUACAAGGAUUCAGCACAGAGACGUCCUGUUUGGAACUGCAGCUGUCUGCGGAAGCAAGCACCUCUGUCCAUGAAGGAGGAGACCCAUGCUGGAGGCCCUCUGCAGCACCUGCCAAAGCCCUGUUGGCCUUCAAGACCCAGCUCACGUCUCUCCUGGCUACCGCUGUCAUCAGCACCCUCUGAGUCCAUCAUAGAUUCUAUCCCUUGCAGGUGCACAGAUUCUAUCCCUCGCAUGUGCUUUCCACUGUCAGGACUCUGAUGCAUUUAUGUGAUUGUCUCCUCACAGCAGACGGGGUGAGGGGCUCUGAAGCCUGUGUUUCAGAACCAGAAUAGCGCCUACUGGCUAUUCAAUAAAUGAACAUUGCACUGAAUAAAAUAGAAACCACCAAUAAAGGAAGUAGCUGCACAGUAUCAGAGGGAUUGAAUGUCAGGCAGGAUGAAAGUGAGGUGGAUGACAGAGAGGCUGUGAUCUCAGUCUUCCUAGACCCCUCACUUCACUUGGAGGCCCAAGGGUCCAGGUGAGAGAGGAGCAAGCCUUUGAGCUUGAAAUGUCUCAGGUGAUGCGGGAGCCAGGGGAAAAAUAAUGUAGUCUGUAAAGAGCCAUGUGGCUGAUGGAGUUGAAAAGCAGAGGUAGAACCCAGAGGGAAGGAAAGCGCCCUAGGGAAGAGGAAAUUAGGCAGCGUCCUACCCUUACUCUUUACCUGACAGCUGUCACCCAGCUUCCAACCUAAAGAAAGGCACACAAACAAGCUUACAGAUGGGGCAUGUGCAAAGCCACAAAGGCAGGGAAGCAACCCCAGACACACAGCCACACAGACGCACAGCAAGUGAGAGAGGCACAAAUGGUGGGGGUCCGGAGGGGAGGGACUGACCUGAAAGUUAUAGACCAUUUACAUAUGUAAAUAAAAUACCUUUGUAUUUAA